CGAGCAAUAGGUCAUUUUUAAAAUGAAGAAAUAUGGUGUUAGUGCUUGGUCAUUAGCAGGUGAUUAGAUCAUCUAAAUUUAUAAAAUUCACAGAUAAAAGGGUUAGUUUUUUAAAGAAACUGUAAUGCUGAUUUGUCUACUUUAACAGCAUGUGCAUGCUAGUCACAUAUUGUUAGAGACAGUAUUCUCUUUUGUUUGUUUGUUUUUGAGACAACCUCCUCCUCCCUGGUUCAAAUGAUUCUUAUGCUUUAGCUUACAGAGCAGCGGGGAUUACAGACACAUGCUAACACACCCAACUAAUUUUGGGAUAUUUAGUAGAGACCUGGUUUCACCUUGUCUGCCAGGCUACUCUUGAACAUCUGACCUCAAAUGAUCCUCCCAUCUCAGCCUCCCAAGGUGCUGGGAUUACAGAUCUCAAUGAAAAUUAUGAAAGCAUUCCCUUUGAAGGAAAUUAGAGGUCAUUUCUCAGAAUCAGGUAUCCACACCGAAACCUGUAAGUCGUGACUAGAAUCACUUUGUGUCCACAGGGAAGGUUAGAGUGCAAUGAGAGGAUCAUGGAUCACUGUAGCCUUGAUGUCCUGGGCUCAAGCAAUUCUCCUACCUCAGCCUCUCAAGAAGCUGGGAAUACAGAUGUGCUCCAUCACAGAAUUUUUUUUUUUUUAAUUUUCUAUUGAAACAGGGUUUCAUG
Molecule: long non-coding RNA, 688 nt
Filed under: Callithrix jacchus (white-tufted-ear marmoset)
Lineage: Eukaryota; Metazoa; Chordata; Mammalia; Primates; Cebidae
Description: lncRNA (ENSCJAG00000063048.2)
Source: RNAcentral